ACUUUUCUAGUAUUCAACCAGUACGGGUGAUUUCCACUUACCAAGUCUUAACACUAACUUAAGGAAAAGUA
Molecule: transfer RNA, 71 nt
Filed under: Blanus cinereus (Mediterranean worm lizard)
Lineage: Eukaryota; Metazoa; Chordata; Lepidosauria; Squamata; Blanidae
Description: tRNA-Gly
Source: RNAcentral